CGCCGCGGUAAUACGUAGGUGGCAAGCGUUGUCCGGAAUUACUGGGUGUAAAGGGAGCGUAGGCGGGAAGGCAAGUUGAAUGUUAAAUCUAUCGGCUCAACCGAUAGCCGCGUUCAAAACUGUCUUUCUUGAGUGAAGUAGAGGCAAGCAGAAUUCCUAGUGUAGCGGUGAAAUGCGUAGAGAUUAGGAGGAAUACCAGUGGCGAAGGCGGCUUGCUGGGCUUUUACUGACGCUGAGGCUCGAAAGUGUGGGGAGCAAACAGGAUUAGAUACCCUGGUAGUCCACACUGUAAACGAUGAUUACUAGGUGUGGGGGGUCUGACCCCUUCCGUGCCGGAGUUAACACAAUAAGUAAUCCACCUGGGGAGUACGGUCGCAAGACUAAAACUCAAAGGAAUUGACGGGGCCCCGCACAAGCAGUGGAGUAUGUGGUUUAAUUCGAAGCAACGCGAAGAACCUUACCAGGUCUUGACAUCUAACUAAUCCUCUAGAGAUAGAGGAGUGCCCUUCGGGGAAAGUUAAGACAGGUGGUGCAUGGCC
RNAcentral lists this ribosomal RNA (539 nucleotides) under uncultured archaeon. Its description in RNAcentral is "bacterial SSU rRNA". It matches the Rfam family "Bacterial small subunit ribosomal RNA", at positions 513 to 1050 of the family's 1533-position model. The record is from RNAcentral.